CUCCUACGGGAGGCAGCAGUGGGGAAUUUUGGACAAUGGGCGCAAGCCUGAUCCAGCCAUUCCGCGUGAGUGAAGAAGGCCUUCGGGUUGUAAAGCUCUUUCGGCCGGGAAGAAAUCGCACGGGAUAAUACCCUGUGUGGAUGACGGUACUGGAAGAAGAAGCACCGGCUAACUACGUGCCAGCAGCCGCGGUAAUACGUAGGGUGCGAGCGUUAAUCGGAAUUACUGGGCGUAAAGCGUGCGCAGGCGGUUUUGUAAGACAGCUGUGAAAUCCCCGGGCUUAACCUGGGAACUGCGGUUGUGACUGCAAGACUUGAGUGCGGCAGAGGGGGGUGGAAUUCCACGUGUAGCAGUGAAAUGCGUAGAGAUGUGGAGGAACACCGAUGGCGAAGGCAGCCCCCUGGGUCGACACUGACGCUCAUGCACGAAAGCGUGGGGAACAAACAGGAUUAGAUACCCUGGUAGUCCACGCCCUAAACGAUGCGAACUAGGUGUUGGGGAAGGAGACUUCUUUAGUACCGUAGCUAACGCGUGAA
This 536-nucleotide ribosomal RNA is filed under the name uncultured bacterium. RNAcentral describes it as "bacterial SSU rRNA". It matches the Rfam family "Bacterial small subunit ribosomal RNA", at positions 336 to 863 of the family's 1533-position model. The record is from RNAcentral.